This 329-nucleotide ribosomal RNA is filed under the name uncultured eukaryote. RNAcentral's name for it is "partial 18S ribosomal RNA". It matches the Rfam family "Eukaryotic small subunit ribosomal RNA", at positions 1470 to 1796 of the family's 1831-position model. The record is from RNAcentral.
CCCUUAGAUGUUCUGGGCCGCACGCGCGCUACACUGACGAUGGCAACGAGUUUUUCCUUCGCCGAAAGGUGUGGGUAAUCUUUUGAAACAUCGUCGUGCUGGGGAUAGAUCAUUGCAAUUUUUGAUCUUGAACGAGGAAUUCCUAGUAAGCGCGAGUCAUCAGCUCGCGUUGAUUACGUCCCUGCCCUUUGUACACACCGCCCGUCGCUACUACCGAUUGAAUGGUUUAGUGAGGACUCCUGAUUGGCGCCGCCGCCCCGGCAACGGAGCAGCGGACUGCCGAAAAGCUGUUCAAACUUGAUCAUUUAGAGGAAGUAAAAGUCGUAACA